This 462-nucleotide ribosomal RNA is filed under the name uncultured bacterium. RNAcentral describes it as "bacterial SSU rRNA". It matches the Rfam family "Bacterial small subunit ribosomal RNA", at positions 30 to 486 of the family's 1533-position model. The record is from RNAcentral.
AUUGAACGCUGGCGGCAUGCCUUACACAUGCAAGUCGAACGGCAGCACGGGAGCAAUCCUGGUGGCGAGUGGCGAACGGGUGAGUAAUAUAUCGGAACGUGCCCAGUCGUGGGGGAUAACGUAGCGAAAGCUACGCUAAUACCGUAUACGAUCUACGGAUGAAAGCGGGGGAUCGCAAGACCUCGCGCGAUUGGAGCGGCCGAUAUCAGAUUAGGUAGUUGGUGAGGUAAAGGCUCACCAAGCCGACGAUCUGUAGCUGGUCUGAGAGGACGACCAGCCACACUGGGACUGAGACACGGCCCAGACUCCUACGGGAGGCAGCAGUGGGGAAUUUUGGACAAUGGGCGCAAGCCUGAUCCAGCAAUGCCGCGUGCAGGAUGAAGGCCUGGUGUAACUGCUUUGUACGGUAACGAAACGGUAGGUAGCGUCUAAUACAGUUUGUCUAAUGACGGUACCGUAACG